UACUCUAGCAAUACCACCCUGAUCAUGCUCAAUCUCAUCUGAUCUCAGAAGCUAAGCUGGGUCCGGCCUGGUCAGUACUUAGACGGGAGACUGCCUGAAAUAACGAGUGCUAUAGGGC
RNAcentral lists this ribosomal RNA (118 nucleotides) under Propithecus coquereli (Coquerel's sifaka). The record is from RNAcentral. Lineage: Eukaryota; Metazoa; Chordata; Mammalia; Primates; Indriidae.